AGAGUUUGAUCAUGGCUCAGAACGAACGCUGGCGGCAGGCUUAACACAUGCAAGUCGAACGAGACCUUCGGGUCUAGUGGCGCACGGGUGAGUAACGCGUGGGAACCUGUCCUGUGGUUCGGGAUACCUCCGGGAAACUGGAGUUAAUACCGGAUGUCUCCUUCGGGAGAAAGAUUUAUCGCCAUAGGGUGGGCCCGCGUCCGAUUAGCUAGUUGGUGGGGUAAAGGCCUACCAAGGCAUCGAUCGGUAGCUGGUCUGAGAGGAUGAUCAGCCACACUGGGACUGAGACACGGCCCAGACUCCUACGGGAGGCAGCAGUGGGGAAUAUUGGACAAUGGGGGCAACCCUGAUCCAGCCAUGCCGCGUGAGUGAUGAAGGCCUUCGGGUUGUAAAGCUCUUUCGGUGGGGACGAUGAUGACGGUACCCACAGAAGAAGCCCCGGCUAACUUCGUGCCAGCAGCCGCGGUAAUACGAAGGGGGCGAGCGUUGUUCGGAAUUACUGGGCGUAAAGGGCGCGUAGGCGGCGCACCAAGUCAGGCGUGAAAGCCCUGGGCUUAACCCAGGAAUUGCGUUUGAGACUGGCGUGCUGGAGUGCAGGAGAGGUCGGCGGAAUUCCCAGUGUAGAGGUGAAAUUCGUAGAGAUUGGGAAGAACACCGGUGGCGUAGGCGGCCGACUGGACUGUAACUGACGCUGAGGCGCGAAAGCGUGGGGAGCAAACAGGAUUAGAUACCCUAGUAGUCC
RNAcentral lists this ribosomal RNA (742 nucleotides) under uncultured bacterium. Its description in RNAcentral is "bacterial SSU rRNA". It matches the Rfam family "Bacterial small subunit ribosomal RNA", at positions 8 to 796 of the family's 1533-position model. The record is from RNAcentral.